Long non-coding RNA from Drosophila miranda, 635 nucleotides. RefSeq lists it as uncharacterized. The transcript has 2 exons. The record is from RefSeq and is a predicted model, not a curated record. Lineage: Eukaryota; Metazoa; Arthropoda; Insecta; Diptera; Drosophilidae.
CUUAAAUUUCAGUUCUAGCGUCCAGCAAUACUAAAACACACACACGCAAAGUACGUGAGAAUGCGUGUGCACCCAUACAUUCAAAUAUGCUAAAGGCACAACAGAAAACAGAAAUUAGCAUCAUCAUCAAUUAAAAAAGAAGCAUAGUCCAACAAUGUAUAAUUUUAACGUCAAAAAUAGAUAAAUAUGCAGACUAAUUUAAAUUUUCCAAUCCGUGUUUUGCACACCGGAAUCAUCUGCUUAAUCAGGAAUCAACAUGCAAAAAUCGCAAAGAAACGUGUGGUCUUGGAACAUCAAAAAUGGAUGGUGGACUAACUGGGAAAUGAAUGGAGGAUGGCCGUCAGUGUGAAUAGCCUAUUAGUACACAUUUUGUCAGCAGCCUUGAAUCGUUCCGUGUAAUUUUGGCUGGAAAACAUUUGACGCAAGCGCAGUAGUUUUUAAAUAUGGACUGUGUAAAAUGUUUAACAUAUAUUAGUAUACAAAAUACAGUCAGCAAUGCCAAUGCUAAAACGGGUGUUCCCAAACGUGCUGUACAUAUUGUAUUACAAAAUCUUGACAAAAUAAAACUAAACAACAAAAAAUGUUCUUUUAAUUGUAUAAACAUAUCUAAAUAAAUAUAGGAAUAUACAAAAUUG